GACUAGUAGCAUAGUGGUAGCGCACAAGGAGAAUGAUCGUGAGGUCGCGGGUUCGAACCCCGACUCCCG
This 69-nucleotide transfer RNA is filed under the name Hordeum vulgare. RNAcentral's name for it is "tRNA-OTHER". Lineage: Eukaryota; Viridiplantae; Streptophyta; Magnoliopsida; Poales; Poaceae. The record is from RNAcentral.